GGUUAAGCGACUAAGCGUACACGGUGGAUGCCCUGGCAGUCAGAGGCGAUGAAGGACGUGCUAAUCUGCGAUAAGCGUCGGUAAGGUGAUAUGAACCGUUAUAACCGGCGAUUUCCGAAUGGGGAAACCCAGUGUGAUUCGUCACACUAUCAUUAACUGAAUCCAUAGGUUAAUGAGGCGAACCGGGGGAACUGAAACAUCUAAGUACCCCGAGGAAAAGAAAUCAACCGAGAUUCCCCCAGUAGCGGCGAGCGAACGGGGAGCAGCCCAGAGCCUGAAUCAGUGUGUGUGUUAGUGGAAGCGUCUGGAAAGGCGUGCGAUACAGGGUGACAGCCCCGUACACAAAAAUGCACAUACUGUGAGCUCGAUGAGUAGGGCGGGACACGUGGUAUCCUGUCUGAAUAUGGGGGGACCAUCCUCCAAGGCUAAAUACUCCUGACUGACCGAUAGUGAACCAGUACCGUGAGGGAAAGGCGAAAAGAACCCCGGCGAGGGGAGUGAAAAAGAACCUGAAACCGUGUACGUACAAGCAGUGGGAGCACGCUUAGGCGUGUGACUGCGUACCUUUUGUAUAAUGGGUCAGCGACUUAUAUUCUGUAGCAAGGUUAACCGAAUAGGGGAGCCGAAGGGAAACCGAGUCUUAACUGGGCGUUAAGUUGCAGGGUAUAGACCCGAAACCCGGUGAUCUAGCCAUGGGCAGGUUGAAGGUUGGGUAACACUAACUGGAGGACCGAACCGACUAAUGUUGAAAAAUUAGCGGAUGACUUGUGGCUGGGGGUGAAAGGCCAAUCAAACCGGGAGAUAGCUGGUUCUCCCCGAAAGCUAUUUAGGUAGCGCCUCGUGAAUUCAUCUCCGGGGGUAGAGCACUGUUUCGGCAAGGGGGUCAUCCCGACUUACCAACCCGAUGCAAACUGCGAAUACCGGAGAAUGUUAUCACGGGAGACACACGGCGGGUGCUAACGUCCGUCGUGAAGAGGGAAACAACCCAGACCGCCAGCUAAGGUCCCAAAGUCAUGGUUAAGUGGGAAACGAUGUGGGAAGGCCCAGACAGCCAGGAUGUUGGCUUAGAAGCAGCCAUCAUUUAAAGAAAGCGUAAUAGCUCACUGGUCGAGUCGGCCUGCGCGGAAGAUGUAACGGGGCUAAACCAUGCACCGAAGCUGCGGCAGCGACGCUUAUGCGUUGUUGGGUAGGGGAGCGUUCUGUAAGCCUGUGAAGGUGUGCUGUGAGGUAUGCUGGAGGUAUCAGAAGUGCGAAUGCUGACAUAAGUAACGAUAAAGCGGGUGAAAAGCCCGCUCGCCGGAAGACCAAGGGUUCCUGUCCAACGUUAAUCGGGGCAGGGUGAGUCGACCCCUAAGGCGAGGCCGAAAGGCGUAGUCGAUGGGAAACAGGUUAAUAUUCCUGUACUUGGUGUUACUGCGAAGGGGGGACGGAGAAGGCUAUGUUGGCCGGGCGACGGUUGUCCCGGUUUAAGCGUGUAGGCUGGUUUUCCAGGCAAAUCCGGAAAAUCAAGGCCGAGGCGUGAUGACGAGGCACUACGGUGCUGAAGCAACAAAUGCCCUGCUUCCAGGAAAAGCCUCUAAGCAUCAGGUAACAUCAAAUCGUACCCCAAACCGACACAGGUGGUCAGGUAGAGAAUACCAAGGCGCUUGAGAGAACUCGGGUGAAGGAACUAGGCAAAAUGGUGCCGUAACUUCGGGAGAAGGCACGCUGAUACGUAGGUGAAGCGACUUGCUCGUGGAGCUGAAAUCAGUCGAAGAUACCAGCUGGCUGCAACUGUUUAUUAAAAACACAGCACUGUGCAAACACGAAAGUGGACGUAUACGGUGUGACGCCUGCCCGGUGCCGGAAGGUUAAUUGAUGGGGUUAGCGCAAGCGAAGCUCUUGAUCGAAGCCCCGGUAAACGGCGGCCGUAACUAUAACGGUCCUAAGGUAGCGAAAUUCCUUGUCGGGUAAGUUCCGACCUGCACGAAUGGCGUAAUGAUGGCCAGGCUGUCUCCACCCGAGACUCAGUGAAAUUGAACUCGCUGUGAAGAUGCAGUGUACCCGCGGCAAGACGGAAAGACCCCGUGAACCUUUACUAUAGCUUGACACUGAACAUUGAGCCUUGAUGUGUAGGAUAGGUGGGAGGCUUUGAAGUGUGGACGCCAGUCUGCAUGGAGCCGACCUUGAAAUACCACCCUUUAAUGUUUGAUGUUCUAACGUGGACCCGUGAUCCGGGUUGCGGACAGUGUCUGGUGGGUAGUUUGACUGGGGCGGUCUCCUCCUAAAGAGUAACGGAGGAGCACGAAGGUUGGCUAAUCCUGGUCGGACAUCAGGAGGUUAGUGCAAUGGCAUAAGCCAGCUUGACUGCGAGCGUGACGGCGCGAGCAGGUGCGAAAGCAGGUCAUAGUGAUCCGGUGGUUCUGAAUGGAAGGGCCAUCGCUCAACGGAUAAAAGGUACUCCGGGGAUAACAGGCUGAUACCGCCCAAGAGUUCAUAUCGACGGCGGUGUUUGGCACCUCGAUGUCGGCUCAUCACAUCCUGGGGCUGAAGUAGGUCCCAAGGGUAUGGCUGUUCGCCAUUUAAAGUGGUACGCGAGCUGGGUUUAGAACGUCGUGAGACAGUUCGGUCCCUAUCUGCCGUGGGCGCUGGAGAACUGAGGGGGGCUGCUCCUAGUACGAGAGGACCGGAGUGGACGCAUCACUGGUGUUCGGGUUGUCAUGCCAAUGGCACUGCCCGGUAGCUAAAUGCGGAAGAGAUAAGUGCUGAAAGCAUCUAAGCACGAAACUUGCCCCGAGAUGAGUUCUCCCUGACCCUUUAAGGGUCCUGAAGGAACGUUGAAGACGACGACGUUGAUAGGCCGGGUGUGUAAGCGCAGCGAUGCGUUGAGCUAACCGGU
RNAcentral lists this ribosomal RNA (2878 nucleotides) under Shigella flexneri. Its description in RNAcentral is "partial 23S ribosomal RNA". It matches the Rfam family "Bacterial large subunit ribosomal RNA". The record is from RNAcentral. RNAcentral also lists the same sequence under 1 other name. Lineage: Bacteria; Pseudomonadati; Pseudomonadota; Gammaproteobacteria; Enterobacterales; Enterobacteriaceae.